Molecule: transfer RNA, 75 nt
Filed under: Plasmodium chabaudi chabaudi
Lineage: Eukaryota; Apicomplexa; Aconoidasida; Haemosporida; Plasmodiidae
Description: Cys transfer RNA (gca)
Rfam family: tRNA
About the family: Transfer RNA (tRNA) molecules are approximately 80 nucleotides in length. Their secondary structure includes four short double-helical elements and three loops (D, anti-codon, and T loops). Further hydrogen bonds mediate the characteristic L-shaped molecular structure. tRNAs have two regions of fundamental functional importance: the anti-codon, which is responsible for specific mRNA codon recognition, and the 3' end, to which the tRNAs corresponding amino acid is attached (by aminoacyl-tRNA synthetases). tRNAs cope with the degeneracy of the genetic code in two manners: having more than one tRNA (with a specific anti-codon) for a particular amino acid; and 'wobble' base-pairing, i.e. permitting non-standard base-pairing at the 3rd anti-codon position.
Source: RNAcentral
AAAUGAUAUAACUUAAUUAGGUAAAGUGGAUAAUUGCAGAUUAUUUUAUUUCAGUUCAAAUCUGAAUAUCAUUUA